CCUACGGGAGGCAGCAGUGGGGAAUAUUGGACAAUGGGCGAAAGCCUGAUCCAGCAAUACCGCGUGUGUGAUGAAGGCCCUUGGGUCGUAAAGCACUUUCAAUUGUGAAGAUGGUUUAGGUGUUAAUAGCACGCUAAACUGACGUUAACUUUAAAAGAAGCACCGGCUAACUCUGUGCCAGCAGCCGCGGUAAGACAGAGGGUGCGAGCGUUAAUCGGAAUUACUGGGCGUAAAGAGCACGUAGGUGGAUUUUUAAGUCAGAUGUGAAAGCCCCGGGCCUAACCUGGGAACUGCAUUUGAUACUGGAAGUCUAGAGUAUGGUAGAGGGAAGUGGAAUUUCCGGUGUAGCGGUGAAAUGCAUAGAUAUCGGAAGGAACACCAGUGGCGAAGGCGGCUUCCUGGACUAAUACUGACACUGAGGUGCGAAAGCGUGGGUAGCAAACAGGAUUAGAUACCCUGGUAGUCCACGCCGUAAACGAUGAGAACUAGGUGUUGGGGGCCCGUCCCCUGGUACCGCAGCUAACGCAUUAAGUUCUCCGCCUGGGGAGUACGGCCGCAAGGCUAAAACUCAAAGGAAUUGACGG
Molecule: ribosomal RNA, 584 nt
Filed under: uncultured Gammaproteobacteria bacterium
Lineage: Bacteria; Pseudomonadati; Pseudomonadota; Gammaproteobacteria
Description: bacterial SSU rRNA
Rfam family: Bacterial small subunit ribosomal RNA
Source: RNAcentral